Gopherus evgoodei (Goodes thornscrub tortoise) is the source of this 194-nucleotide small nuclear RNA. Its record names the gene U2. It matches the Rfam family "U2 spliceosomal RNA". Rfam says of the family: U2 is a small nuclear RNA (snRNA) component of the spliceosome (involved in pre-mRNA splicing). Complementary binding between U2 snRNA (in an area lying towards the 5' end but 3' to hairpin I) and the branchpoint sequence (BPS) of the intron results the bulging out of an unpaired adenosine, on the BPS, which initiates a nucleophilic attack at the intronic 5' splice site, thus starting the first of two transesterification reactions that mediate splicing. The record is from Ensembl. Lineage: Eukaryota; Metazoa; Chordata; Testudines; Testudinidae.
AUCGCUUCUCGGCUCUCUGUGAGCUAAGAUCAAGUGUAGUAUCUGUUCUUAUCAGUUUAAUAUCUGAUAUGUCCUUUAUUUGAGGACUAUAUUUUAAAUGGAUUUUUGAAACAGGGGGUUGGAAUAGGAGCUUGCUCUAUCCACCCCAUGCAUUGGCCUGGUAUUGCAGUGCCUCCAGGAGCGGUGCCUCUCCU